UACGUAGGGAGCAAGCGUUGUCCGGAAUCAUUGGGCGUAAAGCGCGCGUAGGUGGCUUCGUAAGUCCGUUGUGAAAGUCAAAGGCUCAACCUUUGAAAGCCGAUGGAUACUGCGGAGCUAGAGUACGGAAGAGGCGAGUGGAAUUCCUGGUGUAGCGGUGGAAUGCGCAGAUAUCAGGAGGAACACCAAUAGCGAAGGCAGCUCGCUGGGACGCUACUGACACUGAGGCGCGAAAGCGUGGGGAGCGAACAGG
This 253-nucleotide ribosomal RNA is filed under the name uncultured bacterium. RNAcentral's name for it is "partial 16S ribosomal RNA". It matches the Rfam family "Bacterial small subunit ribosomal RNA", at positions 524 to 776 of the family's 1533-position model. The record is from RNAcentral.